UUGAAAGGGAAACGAUUGAAGUCAGUCGUACCUGUGGGUAAUCAGCCUUUUGGGUGUGGUUUUGUGGAGUGUGAGGAGUUAAACGCCUUCAUGCCUGCAUAUUCGUGCACUUUGGGUGUAUUUACCCGUGUGGUAAGUUAACAUCAAUUUCGGUGGUCAUAAAAUGGCUGGAGGAAUGUAGCUUCGAUCUUGUAUUGAAGUGUUAUAGCCUUCGGUAGAUGUGAUGAUCGGGAUUGAGGAUUGCAACGGAUACCCUUCGGGGCUACCUGUCUGAUCUCUGAUCGUUGCUCUGGUGCCGAAAGCUUGCUUACGGUUAUCAAAGUCGAUGGCCAAUAGGUUAGAACGGGUUAAAUUCGUUAAGGAUGUUGACGUA
RNAcentral lists this ribosomal RNA (373 nucleotides) under uncultured Glomeromycotina. Its description in RNAcentral is "LSU rRNA". Lineage: Eukaryota; Fungi; Glomeromycota. The record is from RNAcentral.